GAUGAACGCUGGCGGCGUGCCUAAUACAUGCAAGUCUAGCGAACGGACGAGAAGCUUGCUUCUCUGAUGUUAGCGUCGGACGUGUGAGUAACACGUUGAUAACCUACCUAUAAGACUUGGAUAACUUCGGGAAACCGGAGCUAAUACCUGAUGAUAUUUUGAACCGCAUGGUUCAAAAGUGAAAGACGGUCUUGCUGUCACUUAUAUAUGGAUCCUCGCUGCAUUAGCUAGUUGGUAAGGUAACGGCUUACCAAGGCAACGAUGCAUAGCCGACCUGAGAGAGGGAUAGGCCACACUGGAACUAAGACACGGUCCAGACUCCUGCGGGAGGCAGCAGUAGGGAAUCUUCCGCAAUGGGCGAAAGCAUGACGGAGCAACGCCGCGUGAGUGAUGAAGGUAAUCGGAACGUAAAACUCUGUUAUUAGGGAAGAACAUAUGUGAAAGUAACUGGGCAAAUCUUGACGGUACCUAAUCAGAAAACCAAGGCUAACUACGUG
RNAcentral lists this ribosomal RNA (497 nucleotides) under uncultured bacterium. RNAcentral describes it as "partial 16S ribosomal RNA". It matches the Rfam family "Bacterial small subunit ribosomal RNA", at positions 28 to 507 of the family's 1533-position model. The record is from RNAcentral.